RNAcentral lists this ribosomal RNA (1412 nucleotides) under metagenome. RNAcentral describes it as "bacterial SSU rRNA". It matches the Rfam family "Bacterial small subunit ribosomal RNA". The record is from RNAcentral.
AGAGUUUGAUCAUGGCUCAGGACGAACGCUGGCGGCGCGCCUAACACAUGCAAGUCGAACGAGCGAGAGAGAGCUUGCUUUCUCGAGCGAGUGGCGAACGGGUGAGUAACGCGUGAGGAACCUGCCUCAAAGAGGGGGACAACAGUUGGAAACGACUGCUAAUACCGCAUAAGCCCACGGUGCCGCAUGGCACAGAGGGAAAAGGAGCAAUCCGCUUUGAGAUGGCCUCGCGUCCGAUUAGCUAGUUGGUGAGGUAACGGCCCACCAAGGCAACGAUCGGUAGCCGGACUGAGAGGUUGAACGGCCACAUUGGGACUGAGACACGGCCCAGACUCCUACGGGAGGCAGCAGUGGGGAAUAUUGCACAAUGGGGGAAACCCUGAUGCAGCGACGCCGCGUGGAGGAAGAAGGUCUUCGGAUUGUAAACUCCUGUUGUUGGGGAAGAUAAUGACGGUACCCAACAAGGAAGUGACGGCUAACUACGUGCCAGCAGCCGCGGUAAAACGUAGGUCACAAGCGUUGUCCGGAAUUACUGGGUGUAAAGGGAGCGCAGGCGGGAAGACAAGUUGGAAGUGAAAUCUAUGGGCUCAACCCAUAAACUGCUUUCAAAACUGUUUUUCUUGAGUAGUGCAGAGGUAGGCGGAAUUCCCGGUGUAGCGGUGGAAUGCGUAGAUAUCGGGAGGAACACCAGUGGCGAAGGCGGCCUACUGGGCACCAACUGACGCUGAGGCUCGAAAGUGUGGGUAGCAAACAGGAUUAGAUACCCUGGUAGUCCACACCGUAAACGAUGAUUACUAGGUGUUGGAGGAUUGACCCCUUCAGUGCCGCAGUUAACACAAUAAGUAAUCCACCUGGGGAGUACGACCGCAAGGUUGAAACUCAAAGGAAUUGACGGGGGCCCGCACAAGCAGUGGAGUAUGUGGUUUAAUUCGACGCAACGCGAAGAACCUUACCAAGUCUUGACAUCCCUUGACAGGCAUAGAAAUAUGUUUUCUCUUCGGAGCAAGGAGACAGGUGGUGCAUGGUUGUCGUCAGCUCGUGUCGUGAGAUGUUGGGUUAAGUCCCGCAACGAGCGCAACCCUUAUGGUCAGUUACUACGCAAGAGGACUCUGGCCAGACUGCCGUUGACAAAACGGAGGAAGGUGGGGAUGACGUCAAAUCAUCAUGCCCUUUAUGACUUGGGCUACACACGUACUACAAUGGCGUUAAACAAAGAGAAGCGAGACCGCGAGGUGGAGCAAAACUCAGAAACAACGUCCCAGUUCGGACUGCAGGCUGCAACUCGCCUGCACGAAGUCGGAAUUGCUAGUAAUCGUGGAUCAGCAUGCCACGGUGAAUACGUUCCCGGGCCUUGUACACACCGCCCGUCACACCAUGAGAGCCGGGGGGACCCGCAGUCGGUAGUCUAACCG